RNAcentral lists this long non-coding RNA (1452 nucleotides) under Gossypium barbadense (sea-island cotton). RNAcentral's name for it is "long non-coding RNA (GBAR_LNC008982)". Lineage: Eukaryota; Viridiplantae; Streptophyta; Magnoliopsida; Malvales; Malvaceae. The record is from RNAcentral.
CGGCCUUAUUACAUUUAAAAACCCAAAACUUUAAACGUAAAUAAAAGGAUGUCCAGUUCACCAGAAGAAAAUCAAACUUUCAGAACGGGUGGCCACUCCGAAUUCCCCCACAGCUCCAAGCCCACUAUGGUUGGGGAUUACCUGCGUGGAUGAAAAUAAAAGGGGUGAGUUUGGGGAAACUCAGUGUGUAAAAUAACCCAACCAUAGUCUAAAUCAGCUCAAACUACAGAAAUAGAAUAAGUUGGCCUUAGCCCAGAACAGAAUUCAGAACAAAACCCAUAGGCCCAUAGCAGAACAGAACAGAUAUUACAUGUUUAUGCAGAAACCCAACCAUAUCCAACCGUAUACACCCCCGUACCAACCUUACACCGUGUGGGGAGACAACUCGAUCCACCCAACCGCUACACACCACAGAAUUUGCAGCAUGGAUGCCAGAACAGAUAAUCGUGGCAGAGCCACCAGAACAGAUAUAUGUGGCAGAGCCACCAGAACGCUUCCUCCAUAAUAUAACCCAUGUCCCCAUGCAACAGAUAUAUAAUCAUGGCAUACAUCAUACAGAAUCAGAUCGUUAUGCUUUUCAGUCAAAAUUAACCCUAGGGGUAUAACGGUAAUUUUGCACUUAGGGGUAUAACAGUAAUUUUCCAUACAUAGGGGUAUUAUAGUAAUUUAGCUACUUUUAUGGUUUUCAUGCAUAUCCUAACUAUUUACGUACUAUCAGAACACUUACCGCACAUACUUACUGAAUUGGGCCCGUUGGCCCAUGAACCUGAUCUUUGGCCCAUUAAGCCCAAAUUAUCAAAAUGUACGAAAUCGCGCGUACUGCAGUUUAUUACUUUAGAUUACCAAAUAUACAAACCCAACUAUCUUACAAGCAUUCGCACACUCGCAAAUUCCCAAAAAACUGACUUUUCGGCAUUUCGGCUUUUCGGCUUUUGCCAAUCUAGUCUAUGAGAGGGUGUCAGUUACACACCUGUUUGCGACGAUAUGCUGACGAGAUCCACACACGAACCACCUACAAUUGGAAUACUAACACGUUAAUCUAACUAUUCAAAUACAAACUACGUAUUAACCCCUUACAAUAUUCGGCCAACCACACCUACAGAUCAUAGUAGGCUUAUGAGAAAUCAAUAAGCAACUCAUUAACAAAUUUUUGUCAAUGUUUACCACAUAAUCAUAAUUUCACUGCAAGCUGUCUUCCUGAGCAACAGUCACUAAAUUAUUUAUAAAUGGAGCUACGAAACUUCAAAUCAAGUGCCGUUAAUUUUUCCUGAAAAUAGACUCAUAUAUCUUUUAUCCAUAAAAUUUUCAGAAUUUUUGGUACGGCCAAUCAAUACCAGAUUUUUCUUAAAGUUUCCCAUGUUUCACUGUUUGACUAAUCUGACCACUCUUCAUUACGAAUCAAAUUUCUAAUUUUACAGAAUUCAAAAUAUGUUCUUGUUUAUUCCAUUUGGA